GGUCGAUCCUUUGCUCAAGCCAUUAAACACCAAGAUGUGCCCCUUAAGAGUGUCUUUGAUAGACUAAAAGAACCGCUGAAGCUCAUCGGCGGUAAGGAUAAAAUUCCGGAGCUGCUGAAGGUUGCCGGCGGCAAGGGCAAAAUUCCGGUGAUUGAAUCGGUGACCAUCUCCAAAUUUCAAAAGGUGCAUGAUAAGCGGAAUCCGCCUUCUAAGGAAGCUUUAAUUUCGGUUUUGAAUUGUGGUCGUUGUUUGGAGGAUGGUCAUAAUUCGGCCCAGUGUAAUGGGCCCUUUCGUUGCCGAUCAUGUAAAGCUCCGGGACAUGCGGCCCUUGCCACCAGCCUAAACUCUAGGGAUAGUGGCAGGGGUAAUGGUAAUUUUGUUUGGCAACCAAAAAAGUUAUCGCCGGCUAUCUUGCAACCUCAUCUUCUGCAAUCUACAACUGAGGCUACAGUUCUUUCCCCUCAAAGCUCCUUGCCAAUGGCUAAUCUCAACCCUAAUCCUCACCGCUUCCUCCGACAAGGUCACAUUGUGCAUUUGGGAGGUAACCUACGGGUUCCUAGAAUCGACCUCACCAUCCCUCAGAGGCCAGAGCGUAGACAUGAGGACUUUUGCCUAGCUUUGUUUCAUCCGCAAGUUCCAGAACAAGAUUGGGAUCAAGACUGGGAUGAGCGCCUUUUUGAGGUGAGAAACAGCUUCCGCCACGCCUCUGCUGUAGGCAUGUUUCAGCUCCGCUCUGCUAUGCAUAGGGAUGAACUUGUCCUUAGUGAGCUGUUCGUGUAUGAUGGGAGAGCUUCUCAGCAUAAUAGGGAGGGAUGGUUCCUCUUCCUAGACUUCCCGCUUGACUUUAUUGAUUGGGACCAUCUCAACCUAGCCACAGCUUCCUUCGGUCAGCUCUCUUACUGGCUUGAAAGAGAUCAGAUGAAGGGGAGGGUGCUCAUCAGAGCUAAGUUCAAAGACAAUGACUCUGUGCCCAGGAAAAUUGUGCUGCAUGAUCCAGUGGGAAUGGGUGGUGGUGGUGAAUCUUGGACAGUUUCUGUUUUUCUUUUGGAAGGGGACUUCAUCAAUAUGCCGCCAGAUGAGGAUUUUCCCCUAGCUGGCCCACAGCCUAAUCCUGCUGCUGCUGAUGAUGAUGAUCCAGAUGUGGCCACAUCUGGCAAAUGGGUCAUCCCCAAGCAGGUCCUGGUAGAAGAUGCUUGGGGCCAAGAUCACCCUAUGGGCCAGAUCAUGGAAGCAAACCCUGAUGGAAUAAUUGAUUUGGCUGCUGCUAACCCUGUUCAGAGGUUUUUAGCAAGAUUGGAAAAAAUUGCUAAAAAUGAGUACCCCAGGGUUCCCUAUUUCUACCCCAUGAAAGGCAUCAAUGAGAAGAUUGACCUCCUGUGCAAAGAAAGGGAUUAUAUGCCUCAUUUUUUGGCUAGUCACUCUAUUCCUGCUACUCUUUAUGAGCGAAGCCUCUUUAAAGCUCUAGUCCUGCCAAAGAAGCUAUGUUUGAUUUCUCUCCUCAAGUGA
Molecule: long non-coding RNA, 1506 nt
Filed under: Oryza sativa Indica Group (long-grained rice)
Lineage: Eukaryota; Viridiplantae; Streptophyta; Magnoliopsida; Poales; Poaceae
Description: lncRNA OsMH63_08G013170
Source: RNAcentral